GUCCUGCCUGCCCUGUGACUAAAUGUUUAACGGCCGCGGUAUUUUGACCGUGCGAAGGUAGCGCAAUCACUUGUCUUUUAAAUGAAGACCCGUAUGAAUGGCUUAACGAGGGCUAAGCUGUCUCCUUUUCCCAGUCAAUGAAAUUGAUUUCCCCGUGCAGAAGCGGGGAUAAAACCAUAAGACGAGAAGACCCUAUGGAGCUUUAGACACUAACACAGCUCAACUAAACCCUCCCUUAUAAACAGGGCCCUAUCUUAUGAUCCUGUCCUAAUGUCUUUGGUUGGGGCGACCACGGGGAACUACUUAACCCCCACGUAGGCUGGGAGGACACCUCCUGAAAACAAGAGACCCCCCUCUAAUCAUCAGAACUUCUGACUUAAAAUGAUCCGGUAAAACCGAUCAACGAACCGAGUUACCCUAGGGAUAACAGCGCAAUCCCCUUCUAGAGUCCUUAUCGACAAGGGGGUUUACGACCUCGAUGUUGGAUCAGGACAUCCUAAUGGUGCAGCAGCUAUUAAGGGUUCGUUUGUUCAACGAUUAACAGUCCUACGUGAUCUG
This 558-nucleotide ribosomal RNA is filed under the name Parapercis haackei. RNAcentral's name for it is "partial 16S ribosomal RNA". It matches the Rfam family "Bacterial large subunit ribosomal RNA", at positions 1852 to 2607 of the family's 2925-position model. Lineage: Eukaryota; Metazoa; Chordata; Actinopteri; Uranoscopiformes; Pinguipedidae. The record is from RNAcentral.